UUUCUUGGGCCGGCAAAUCCGUUAAACAACAACGUAGGUUGCCUAAGGGGGACUACUCAUAGAGAACAGAGAUCUCCAGCAGAGCAAAAGGGUAAAGGUCCCCUUGGUUUUAAUUUGUGUGAAUACGAACCAUGAAAGUGCGGUCUAUCGUUUUCCAUCGAAAUUUGAGGCCAGAG
This 176-nucleotide non-coding RNA is filed under the name Penicillium expansum. RNAcentral describes it as "Eukaryotic large subunit ribosomal RNA". It matches the Rfam family "Eukaryotic large subunit ribosomal RNA", at positions 2621 to 2802 of the family's 3401-position model. Lineage: Eukaryota; Fungi; Ascomycota; Eurotiomycetes; Eurotiales; Aspergillaceae. The record is from Rfam by way of RNAcentral.